AGCGGGGGCGGUAUUACAGUCGGUUUUUGGCACCGUUGUGACGACAAGAGAGCUGAGCCGGAAAGCAAAGAUCUCGAUCAACCGGUCCGUUUUCAUUUCUACCCUCACAUAUGGUCAUGAAGGCUGGGUCAUGACCGAAACAACAAGAUCCAGAAUACA
Long non-coding RNA from Etheostoma spectabile (orangethroat darter), 159 nucleotides. RefSeq lists it as uncharacterized. NCBI's taxonomy places the organism in Eukaryota, Metazoa, Chordata, Actinopteri, Perciformes, Percidae. The transcript is spliced from 4 exons. The record is from RefSeq and is a predicted model, not a curated record.